AGUUCAUAUUUUCAUCUCCCCUCUCGGCUCUUUCUCUCCAAAAACCGAGCACGAAUUUGGAUUCAAUAUUUGGACCAUCAAAAGUUUGAUUUGUUCCAUAGAUCUUGAAGAGCCAGGUAUACUCUUUCACAUAUUAGUUUUUGACUCAUUGAUUUGACCUAUAUUACACGUAUGUUGUAGACUUAGAUAAACCAUUUAUAGUUUUUUGAAUGGAUGAUUAAUAUUUUUCUUAUGCAAUCGUAGAAUGCCACGUCGUGGAAAAAGUAGCAAACCAAGCUAUGGCCGGACGACCGGUAGUCCGUACAUCCACAAGCCGCUUCCUAGCGGUGUUCCAGUACCUAUGUGCUUUUGUAGUGAUCCUUGCAAGGUAGAAAUUUCGGAAGACGAGGAAACCGGCAGAGGUAUUGGAUGUGUUCGAAUUUUGCCUGGGAGCCUACGCCAAAACAACGCCGCAGUAACUUUAUUACCCCUCCACCAUUGUGUGAUUUUGAGCAGUGGAUCGACACUGAGGUUAAGGAGUCCGACAAGCGGCUUCUACAAGGCCUAAAGGAGUGGGAUGCAGAGCGUGCAGAGAUAUUAGAGAAGAGACGUAGAGAGGAGGCUCAAAAGAGGGAGCACAAGGAAGAGGAGGAAAGAAGACGUGUUGCUGCGGCUCGGGAGGAGAG
This is a long non-coding RNA of Sorghum bicolor (sorghum), 665 nucleotides long. RefSeq lists it as uncharacterized. The transcript is spliced from 3 exons. Lineage: Eukaryota; Viridiplantae; Streptophyta; Magnoliopsida; Poales; Poaceae. The record is from RefSeq and is a predicted model, not a curated record.